This 1017-nucleotide long non-coding RNA is filed under the name Equus asinus (donkey). RNAcentral's name for it is "lncRNA (ENSEASG00005035207.1)". Lineage: Eukaryota; Metazoa; Chordata; Mammalia; Perissodactyla; Equidae. The record is from RNAcentral.
CGCUUCAUUACGACUGCUCUGCUAAGGGCGCCUGUGACUCCUAACUGUUCUAAUUGACCCCCUAGUCCAUCCCUUCCCAGACCUGUCACCCAUGGGCUUGGGAGUUUAUCUCUGUAGCCUCCGGAACAUUCCUUGUGCCUCUCUGCUCCUUCCCGUGUCUCUCCUCUCAGCCUGUCCCUUAAAUAUGGCUGAUCCCCAGCCCCCACCACCAGGGCCAGGGCCUGGUGGGCCAGGAGGGACUCAGGCAGCAACACGGAAGGAGUCCCUGACUCUCGAGGCUGCAAGAUGCAGGGCCAACGCUGAGAGGAAGCCGCCUGCAGCCCAGCCACGACUGCUUAGACUGGAGCUUCAUCUCUCUCCCCUGGACGGUUGCAAUCAUCGCCCGGUCGCUCUCCCUGCCUCCAGAGGGAUGACCACCUGCUGCAGUCAACAUCCUCGUGCACAGGAAUCCAUGUGCAGAAUGAAUUCCCCUUCACUGGAGGACAAUUUUUACCACAAUUUAUAAACGCACAUGCCCUUUGACUCAGCAAUCCCAUUUCAGGGGAUUCGUCCUAUGCACACAUUCCUAUGUGUGAGGAUGUUAAUCCCAGGGUUGUUUGUAAUAGCAAGAAAUUGGAAACAGGCUCCAUGCUCACCCAUAGGGAAAAUACUGAAUACAAUGUGCUGGAUGUAUGGAACGUCUCACAGCCAACAAAGAGACCGAGGCAGCUCUCUAUGUUCUAACACAGAAUGACGUAGAUGGCGAAUAAACAGAAAGCAGGAGGUGAUCAGAGCGUAUGACGUGAUACUGCUGUGCUGAAAGCAGGAUGUGUACAUAUAUGCCCUUACAUGCGGACUCUCUCUGGAAUAAAACCCUAAAACGGAGACAGUGAUUGCUUUUGAGAAUGGGAACCGACGGAGAAGAGUGAAAGCAGACUUACCUGUCACUGCGCAGUUUUCACCAUCUGAAUUCUUUAUACUGAGCGUGUUUUAUCUUUUCCAAUAAAAAUACGUGCCACCCGUCUUUCCCACUGCAGC